GUUCCGUGGCUAAAAUUAUCUGUUUUGACUGGCAGAUCAAUGUUGAAAUUGUGGAGAAAGGCCACGGAUUGACACUUUUUUCAUAAAUUUUCCUUUUUAUUCAUUCAGUGAUUCCUCCUCCAACAGCACCUACAACAGCUGCGACUCCAAGAACACCUGCAGAGAUUGUACCUGCACUAACCCCUGCACCCGCUGCUGCUCCGGUACCUCCAGCCACUGCUCCUGCUUCCACUGCACCUCGUGCGACAACUGUUGCUGCACCUCCUACGACUGCAGCUGCUAUUUUUCGGCUUUAACUAAAGUGUAUAUUCCAACACAAUAUUCCUGAUGAAUCCAUGGAUGUCUGGUCACUAGAACAGACCUCAGUAACACUUUACUUUUACUUUACUUUUACUUUUAUUUCUAUUUGUUCCUCCAAAAGAAUCAAGACAGAUAGUGGAAAGGUCACUGGAUGGUCACAUCAAGAUCUAGCUGUUUAUGUAUAUAUAAAUGAAUAAACAUAUGCACACGUAUACGCACACACACACACACACACCUGCUACUGCUGAACUUUCAGGUUCAGCUGCUGAGAUGUACAAUUAUGUGGUAACUACUGUUUUUAGUUUCACUUUUAUUGUGUCACAUGUUUUACAGUAAUCAGAUUGUCAGUGCAUUUAAAUUAAAAAGAGUGAGAGUACAACAUUGACUGUUUCGCUUUAAUAUUUACAAACAAUACAAAUGUUACAGUAGCUUAUAAACACUGAUGUUCCUUGGAUCAAGAGCUGUCAGAACUAAAAAUAUAAAUUAAGAUACCCCCCCCCCCAAAAAAAAUAAUAAUAAAAUAAAUAAAUAAAUAAAUAAAAAUCAAAUCAAAUUGAAGGACCAUAAAGUUACUCAGUGUACCUUCAAUGUGAUUGUACUGUACAUUCAAGCAAUUAAUGGAGUUCUCUGAGAAGGAUGUGAAAAAAAAAAAAAAGCUAUUUAAAAAUCACUGCUGUUGAAUUUUUUUGAAGUUAUUAUUUUUGACUGUCCGUUAACAAAUUUUAAAUGAGAUAAACUCAUGACAUAAAAAUGAUGAGAUAAACCCAUUUCUCAAUCAUUUUCCCAAUGUGUGAGAAAUGUUACACAGUUUUGUUUCAGAUCAGCCAUCAGUGGUUAUGGAGGCCAGCAAAGACCAACUGGGAUGCUUUUUGUUGCCAUGUUGUCAUGAUCUCUGCUUUGAUUUGUUGUUAUGAAUUCAGUCCUCUCUCUUUUUUAAUGUUGAAGAAUAAAGUACAGUGAAUAAUGGAUGUAUUUAAUAGUGACAGU
Molecule: long non-coding RNA, 1287 nt
Organism: Cyprinus carpio carpio
Lineage: Eukaryota; Metazoa; Chordata; Actinopteri; Cypriniformes; Cyprinidae
Source: Ensembl